AUACAGAGGAUGCGAGCGUUAAUCGGAAUUACUGGGCGUAAAGCGCGCGUAGGCGGCUUAUUAAGUCAGAUGUGAAAUCCCCGGGCUCAACCUGGGAACUGCAUCUGAUACUGGUAAGCUAGAGUUUUGGAGAGGGAAGUAGAAUUUCAGGUGUAGCGGUGAAAUGCAUAGAGAUCUGAAGGAAUACCAGUGGCGAAGGCGACUUCCUGGCCGAAAACUGACGCUGAGGUGCGAAAGCGUGGGUAGCAAACGGGAUUAGAAACCCUAGUAGUCC
This 274-nucleotide ribosomal RNA is filed under the name uncultured bacterium. Its description in RNAcentral is "partial 16S ribosomal RNA". It matches the Rfam family "Bacterial small subunit ribosomal RNA", at positions 523 to 796 of the family's 1533-position model. The record is from RNAcentral.